Molecule: non-coding RNA, 713 nt
Organism: Ictalurus punctatus (channel catfish)
Lineage: Eukaryota; Metazoa; Chordata; Actinopteri; Siluriformes; Ictaluridae
Source: the annotation of a RefSeq genome assembly
UUAUUUGCUCUACAUAAAAUCAUCUUGUUGCUCAGCUAAAGUUCAUAUCAUCAAGCUGAAUUACAGAACUUCUAAAACAUCACAGAGGAAGUUAUAUUGAACAACUUAUAUUGCUGUAAUUGAUGUUUUAUUUGAAUAUCAGAAUAUUUUUUAGUAACUCCUCUAGGGGCUGGACAUGCAAAUGAGACUUUCCCUUUAUAAGCUCAGACUCCAGCUGCAUUAUUUCCACUUAGUUUAGACUUUUUUCAGGAACAGCCAUGCAGCAACAAAUCAUUAACUGUUUCAUUUUGAUAUUAUUGACCAUAACCCGUUGCGGAUGUCAGACACUAACCGAGUCUGAGCCGGUGGUCCUUAAACCUGGAGGAUCUCAUCAACUCACCUGUACCUACUCUGGGAUUAGUGAUAGUGAUGCAGCUAUAUCCUGGAUUAGACAGGCUCAAGAAAAAGGCCUUGAGUGGAUCUCACUCAUUUCUGCUCCGAGUGGUAGUGAUAAAUACUACUCUCAGUCUGUUCAGGGAAGAUUCACCAUCUCCAGAGACAACAGCAAGAAGCAGGUGUAUCUGCACAUGACCAGCCUGAAGACUGAAGACACAGCUGUGUAUUACUGUGCUCGGACAACACACUGACACAAACAGCUGCAAUGCUGUACAAAAACUUCACAUUCACUUACAGCUUCAUUUAUUUGAAGUGAAGCUCAAAUAUUCACACCAGAG